Long non-coding RNA from Parus major (Great Tit), 1006 nucleotides. The record is from Ensembl. Lineage: Eukaryota; Metazoa; Chordata; Aves; Passeriformes; Paridae.
UCCAUCUGGAAAUCUGGGAAUCAGUCUGGGAAUCAGUCUGGGAAUCUGGGAAUCCAUCUGGGAAUCUGGGAAUGAGUCUGGGAAUGAGUCUGGGAAUGGGUCUGGGAAUCCAUCUGGGAAUCCAUUUGGGAAUGAGUCUGGGAAUCUGGGAAUGAGUCUGGGACUCUGGGAAUCCAUCUGGGAAUCUGGGAAUUGUCUGGGAAUCUGGGAAUGAGUCUGGGAAUCCAUCUGGGAAUCCAUCUGGGAAUGAGUCUGGGAAUCUGGGAAUCUGUCUGGGAAUCCAAUUGGUAAUCCGGGAAUCAGUCAGGGAAUCCAUCUGGGAAUCCAUCUAGGAAUCCCCCUGGGAAUCUGGGAAUCCCCCUGGGAAUCUGGGAAUCCAUCUGGGAAUCUGGGAAUCCCCCUGGGAAUCCCCCUGGGAAUGAGUCUGGUCAGGGAUGGUCCCCUGGCGGUGCCGAGGACAUCACGCGCGGCCCUCAGCGUUUAUUCCAAACACCGGCUCCGGGGAGAGGCACCAACCAUCGGAUCCCGCGGAUCCGGCACGGAACGAGAGGCAAAUCCAGCGGGAAAAGCCUCCCUGGGAGAACGUUCCAGAAUGUUCUGGAAAGCCGCGGGGCUCGGCCCUGGUGAGCCCUGGAGGGGCGAAGCAGCGGCCGGAGCAAUCGCUGUGCCCGGCAGUCCCUGAGGUAGGAUGGGGAGCGGCUCCGGAAGAUCCCAGGAAUCUCCUGGGAAGAUCUCGGGAAUCGCUGGGAAUAUCCUGGGAAUCUCCCGGGAAUUUCUCGGGAAUCUCCUGAGAAUCUCUUGGGAAUCUCUCGGGAAUCUCCUGGGAAGAUCUCAGGAAUCUCUUGGGAAUCUCCUGGGAAUCUCCUGGGAAGCUCCUGGGAAUAUCCCGGGAAUCUCCUGGGAAUCUCUCGGGAAUAUCCUGGGAAUCUCCCAGGAAGAUCUCGGGAAUCCCUGGGAAUCUCUUGGGAAUCUCCUGGGAAUCUCCAGGGAAGCUCUUGGGAAUCUC